Molecule: ribosomal RNA, 625 nt
Filed under: Tolypocladium fractum
Lineage: Eukaryota; Fungi; Ascomycota; Sordariomycetes; Hypocreales; Ophiocordycipitaceae
Description: LSU rRNA
Rfam family: Eukaryotic large subunit ribosomal RNA
Source: RNAcentral
CCUUCCGAGUUCCCUGGAACGGGACGCCACANAGGGUGAGAGCCCCGUCUGGUAGGAUGCCAAGCCGGUGUAAAGCGCCUUCGACGAGUCGAGUAGUUUGGGAAUGCUGCUCUAAAUGGGAGGUAUAUGUCUUCUAAAGCUAAAUACUGGCCAGAGACCGAUAGCGCACAAGUAGAGUGAUCGAAAGAUGAAAAGCACUUUGAAAAGAGGGUUAAACAGUACGUGAAAUUGUUGAAAGGGAAGCGCUCGUGACCAGACUUGGGCCAGGCGGAUCAUCCGGCGUUCUCGCCGGUGCACUUCGUCGGGCCCAGGCCAGCAUCAGUUCGCCGCGGGGGAGAAAGGCUCCGGGAACGUAGCUCCUCCGGGGAGUGUUAUAGCCCGCUGCGCAAUGCCCUGCGGCGGACUGAGGUUCGCGCUCCGCAAGGAUGCUGGCGUAAUGGUCAUCAGCGACCCGUCUUGAAACACGGACCAAGGAGUCGUCUUCGUAUGCGAGUGUUCGGGUGUCAAACCCCUACGCGGAAUGAAAGUGAAGGCAGGUGAGAGCCUCGGCGCAUCAUCGACCGAUCCUGAUGUUCUCGGAUGGAUUUGAGUAAGAGCAUACGGGGCCGGACCCGAAAGAAGGUGA